UCGACUGGUUUGCGCUAUCUCUUUCUAGCACAUUGUACCGAGAAACUAAGAUGACAUUAAGGUGUGAAUAUAGGCACGGAAGAGGAGGACAACUGUCGUAGCUUAAUAUGCGUAAGAGUGAAACAGCACUAAUCCAAAGAAAAAAGAUGGCGUCGUCACUUCGCUUUGAAUGACACUCUCUCUAUGUCAAUUUACCUCUAUGGACGUUUGCUGUGAUUGGCAGUCAUCGUCAUCGGAUUGCAUGAUUUGAGUUUCCACUAGACUUGUGUUAUGGACGGAUUUUACGGGCUGUGAUUGGUCGUAUUCAAAUCAAUGACAUUUGAUGACAUUUAAAAGAAAUACGUAAUCCUGUUUUCUCGUUUGUUUUUGUUUAUGCAGUGUGUUUAUGUUAUACAAAAGAAAAAUAUUGAUAUUUUAGUUAUUAAUCUUGGAUUUUGAGACUAUUUUAUACGUUUAUACUUGUUUAUUGUAUUCAUUUUUAAACAGCCAUAUUAUUUCCAGCAAAAGUUAUGGAACGUUUACAGAUACAUAGUAAUAUUUAUAAAAAAAAAAAACAAAUUACUUUCUGCUUGCUUCCUAUAUUUUGUAAAUUUUUAAAGCUUCCUCCCAGACUCAUUUGAGUAUAAGGUGGUUCAUUUUUCCGAAAUAAAUGGAAAGGAUGGCGCAUUUAAUGCAGUGAUUUGAGCUAAUAUAACAACACAAGAAGAUGCUCAAAAUUGUCAAAAAGAAUAUGAAAAUAUUAAUAAAGUAAAUUUUAGAGUUCUAAGAACUUAUCCAAAUGAUUCUAUGAAGCUUGUUUUCAAGAAAGACUAUCGAUGCCAUCGCAAUACUCAGGCUAAUUUGCCUUCAUCAAAGACAAAAAAUCCGUCAUCUAAACAUGUUAACUGUCAGGCAUUCUUAAUAAUUACAGUGAAACCAUCAAGUAUGAAAAGGUAAAGUCUAUUUGCUAAUCUGAGACACAACUACUGUCUAGUGACGUUGGUAAUUUUUUUUGAGAAGUUAGGUUGCUAGAUGUAACUGGAAAAGACUACACAACCAAACAUAACUAAGUACUCAUAGCCAAUAUUAUUAUUAACAGUAAACAGGCAUAAAUAACAUAACAUACACCAUACACCAAUCAAUAAUUAUUUAUUUAAACCUUUAUAAUGUAUUGAUAACAGAUGAGAAAAGUAUUUAUUGUACAAAAUAAAAAUAUUUUAUAGAAAUAAAUUCCACAAAAUUUUA
Diabrotica virgifera virgifera (western corn rootworm) is the source of this 1224-nucleotide long non-coding RNA. RefSeq lists it as uncharacterized. Lineage: Eukaryota; Metazoa; Arthropoda; Insecta; Coleoptera; Chrysomelidae. The transcript is spliced from 2 exons. The record is from RefSeq and is a predicted model, not a curated record.